This is a long non-coding RNA of Mangifera indica (mango), 905 nucleotides long. RefSeq lists it as uncharacterized. Lineage: Eukaryota; Viridiplantae; Streptophyta; Magnoliopsida; Sapindales; Anacardiaceae. The record is from RefSeq and is a predicted model, not a curated record. The transcript is spliced from 3 exons.
GGGAAAGGAAGAGAAAAGGGAUUUAUAGAAAAAGGGAAUAGGGUGAAGAAGAAGGGAGAUUUGCAAGAGAUUUCAACUCUGAUUUAGAGACUACCCAAAUCAGUACGACAGAUUUAAAUGCUCUGCCUGUUCGAUAUCUAUACAGGUACGACAGAAUUUAGUGCUAUGCUUGUGCUUUAUUUCAUGCCAAGUAUGAUAGAUUUGAGUGUUCUGCCCAUGAGAGAUUAUACCGGGUAUGACAGUUGUUUUCCUUUUGCUCUGCCUAGGUGGGGACACCCCUGAUUAUGACAGAUUUUUCUUCCAUAUGAUAUUUUGAUGUAUAUUUUUAUAUUAGAAUUGUGUGAGAUCUAUGGGAAAAUUAUCUUAAUAUCUUGAUAUGGAAGGAAACUUAUAAGAUAAAGAUAGUAUUGCUAUUAAGUUGGAAGUGGAAAUUCAUAAAUGAUUGAUAUGUUCCUAUGAGAAAAGGUAGUAUGGUUAAUUUCUUUCUUGAGACAAUCAAUUUAUGUGAUGAUUGUGUGAUGAACGUUUCAAGUUAAAUGAGAAGCAUGUGGUUUAAGCAUAAUUAGCAUAGUGUGUGGCUCAUAUUUUGGCAUACUAUUAUAUUUUGACAUGCAUUAAUAUUCUCAAAGAUUUAAAUUUCCUACUCACUGAGCUUUUAGCUCACCCUUAUAAAUGUUUUCCUCCCUCCAGGACAUCCUACAAAUCGUGCGGGAUAGUGUUUUGUUGGGUUGUGCCACAGUGUAGCAUCUUUCGUGGAUGUUUUCAUUUGCACACAUCUAUAUAGACUUUUUGUUGUUUUUUUUAUAAACUUAUAAAAUGUUGAAAGGCCGGAGGCCUAAUUAUCAUAUUCUCAUAAUCUUUUGAAAUGAGUAAAGAUGUAAAUUAUUUUGUUAUGUAUGUGAUAA